RNAcentral lists this ribosomal RNA (253 nucleotides) under uncultured bacterium. RNAcentral describes it as "partial 16S ribosomal RNA". It matches the Rfam family "Bacterial small subunit ribosomal RNA", at positions 524 to 776 of the family's 1533-position model. The record is from RNAcentral.
GACGAAGGUGGCGAGCGUUGUUCGGAAUCACUGGGCAUAAAGCGCACGUAGGCGGUGCCGUAAGUCAGAUGUGAAAUCCCUCGGCCUAACCGAGGAACUGCGUCUGAUACUGCGGUGCUUGAGGACCAGAGGGGUGCAUGGAAUUUCCGGUGGAGCGGUGAAAUGCGUUGAUAUCGGAAGGAACUCCGGCGGCGAAAGCGAUGCACUGGCUGGUUUCUGACGCUGAGGUGCGAAAGCCAGGGGAGCAAACGGG